Molecule: ribosomal RNA, 450 nt
Filed under: Encarsia inaron
Lineage: Eukaryota; Metazoa; Arthropoda; Insecta; Hymenoptera; Aphelinidae
Description: eukaryotic LSU rRNA
Source: RNAcentral
GAUCGAAUGGGGAGAUUCAUCGUCAGCCGCUUUGGCUUCCGUGUGAACGCGAUGAUCGGGGCUUCGGCUCUGCGUCACGCGUUUGCUGCGGCAUGUCUGGAGUGGUCGGCGUGCACUUCUCCCCUAGUAGGACGUCGCGAUUCGUUGGGUGUCGGUUUACGGACCGGUAGGUCGCCUGGCGUAUCUCGUUCACGCGAGUUUGUGUCAGACCUCUGGAUUCCCAACCGGCUGCCCGGCGGUAUAAAACGAUAAUUAAACGGUAUUGGGCCGCAUUGAAUGCGUUCAGGCUCGUAGGCAGGCUUGUCUCGCUCGGAUUUACGGACCUAGUGCCGUUGCCGGGUGCUUGGCGAACUGUGGCUUGCGAUGUCCUCGGACUGGCUCUUGAAUAUUCUUACGAAUAUACCGAUCGGCGACGCUACUGCUUUGGGUACUUUCAGGACCCGUCUUGAA